RNAcentral lists this ribosomal RNA (468 nucleotides) under uncultured bacterium. Its description in RNAcentral is "partial 16S ribosomal RNA". It matches the Rfam family "Bacterial small subunit ribosomal RNA", at positions 28 to 507 of the family's 1533-position model. The record is from RNAcentral.
GACGAACGCUGGCGGCGUGCUUAACACAUGCAAGUCGAACGGACAGGCCCUGCUCUUGUGGGGUGCUCGAGUGGCGAACGGGUGAGUAACACGUGAGUAAACUGCCCUUGACUUUGUGAUAACUUCAGGAAACUGGGGCUAAUACCGGAUAGGAGCUCCUGAUGCAUGGUGGGGGUUGGAAAGUUUCGGCGGUUGGGGAUGGACUCGCGGCUUAUCAGCUUGUUGGUGGGGUAGUGGCUUACCAAGCCUUUGACGGGUAGCCGGCCUGGGAGGGGGACCGGCCACAUUGGGACUGAGAUACGGCCCAGACGCCUACGGGAGGCAGCAGUGGGGAAUAUUGCACAAUGGGCGGAAGCCUGAUGCAGCAACGCCGCGUGCGGGAUGACGGCCUUCGGGUUGUAAACCGCUUUCGCCUGUGACGAAGCGUGAGUGACGGUAAUGGGUAAAGAAGCACCGGCUAACUACGUG